This 392-nucleotide ribosomal RNA is filed under the name uncultured eukaryote. RNAcentral's name for it is "partial 18S ribosomal RNA". It matches the Rfam family "Eukaryotic small subunit ribosomal RNA", at positions 592 to 975 of the family's 1831-position model. The record is from RNAcentral.
CAAGAGUGUAUAUUAAAGUUGUUGCGGUUAAAAAGCUCGUAGUUGGACUGAAGGGUUGGACUUCCAGUUCCCUUGAAACCAGUUUUCUUGGGGCUAAAGCUGGUUCGUUCCUUCUCUAUAUUAUUUUUAAAGACGUUGAACAGGUCGUAAAAAAACCUGGUUUUUGAAUCGUUUACUGUGAAAAAAUUAGAGUGUUUAAAGCAGGCUUAUAGCCAGAAUAUUUAGCAUGGGAUAAUGAAAUAUGACCUUUGUCUAUUUUGUUGGUUCCUUAGGCUGAGGUAAUGAUUAAAAGGGAUAGUUGGGGUAGUCUGUAUCCAGUGGUAAGAGGUGAAAUUCUAUGACCCACUGGGGACAAACAAAUGCGAAGGCAUUCUACAAGGAUGUUUUCAUUA